CGCCUCUUGAAAAACAUAAGAGGUCCAGCCUGCCCAGUGACAUUGUUUAACGGCCGCGGUAUCCUAACCGUGCGAAGGUAGCGUAAUCACUUGUCCUUUAAAUGAGGACUAGUAUGAAUGGCAUCACGAGGAUUAUUCUGUCUCCUUUCUCUAAUCAGUAAAACUAAUCUUCCCGUGAAGAAGCGGGGAUACACUUAUAAGACGAGAAGACCCUAUGGAGCUUUAAACAAAACAACAUUUGUUAACUUCCCCUCAAAUUUCAGAAAAACAAUUUUUAUCUUAACACUGUGUUUGUUAGUUUUAGGUUGGGGUGACCGCGGAGAAAAAAGUAACCUCCACAUUGAAGGGGGCUUUCCCUAAACAAAAAGUCACAACUUUAUGUAUCAACAAAUUGACAUCAAUUGACCCAAUAUUUUGAUCAACGAAACAAGUUACCCUAGGGAUAACAGCGCAAUCCACUUCGAGAGCCCCUAUCGACAGGUGGGUUUACGACCUCGAUGUUGGAUCAGGGUAUCCUAGUGGUGCAGCCGCUACUAAAGGUUCGUUUGUUCAACGAUUAAAACCCU
RNAcentral lists this ribosomal RNA (566 nucleotides) under Gastrotheca monticola (mountain marsupial frog). Its description in RNAcentral is "partial large subunit ribosomal RNA". It matches the Rfam family "Bacterial large subunit ribosomal RNA", at positions 1816 to 2597 of the family's 2925-position model. Lineage: Eukaryota; Metazoa; Chordata; Amphibia; Anura; Hemiphractidae. The record is from RNAcentral.